AGUGAACGCUGGCGGUAGGCCUAACACAUGCAAGUCGAACGGCAGCACAGUAAGAGCUUGCUCUUACGGGUGGCGAGUGGCGGACGGGUGAGGAAUACAUCGGAAUCUACUUUUUCGUGGGGGAUAACGUAGGGAAACUUACGCUAAUACCGCAUACGACCUACGGGUGAAAGCAGGGGAUCUUCGGACCUUGCGCGAUUGAAUGAGCCGAUGUCGGAUUAGCUAGUUGGCGGGGUAAAGGCCCACCAAGGGGACGAUCGGUAGCUGGACGGAGAGGAUGAUCAGCCACCUUGGAACGGAGACACGGUCCAGACUCCUACGGGAGGCAGCAGUGGGGAAUAUUGGACAAUGGGCGCAAGCCUGAUCCAGCCAUACCGCGUGUGUGAAGAAGGCCUUCGGGUUGUAAAGCCCUUUUGUUGGGAAAGAAAAGCAGCAGGUUAAUACCCCGCUGUUCUGACGGUACCCAAAGAAUAAGCACCGGCUAACUUCGUG
Molecule: ribosomal RNA, 492 nt
Filed under: uncultured bacterium
Lineage: Bacteria
Description: partial 16S ribosomal RNA
Rfam family: Bacterial small subunit ribosomal RNA
Source: RNAcentral